ACCCCAAAAUCUCCUUAGAAGGUGCAGACCAAGGUUACCCUGGUGGCCUUCAGGGAAAAAGCUUCUCAGAUCCUAGGUGGCAUCCCGUGGUCAAAGCAUCAAGUACAUAAAGGGACCUUAGCUUGAAGAUGACAGACCGAGGGCUAAAUGGGUUUAAGUCUCUGUCCCCAAAAUGUAAAAUAAAUGAUUAGGAUAGUCAGGGCUGGUCUGAAUAGGCACAUUGGAUUGGUUCAGAUGAAGCAGGCUCGUCUGUAAGCACAGAUGAGUCAAGGCUAGACACAGUUAGGGCCAUAAAAGAGGAAGCCCUGACUUCCUAAAAGAGGAGAGCCUCCACCUCUCCAGGGCAGUCUGAGGCUUUGGGGGCAUGCCCUCUGGCUGGCUGAGGCUGCUGCCUCCGUCCAAGCCGGCUGGCAGAAGUGACGGCCCAGCACAUCAGCAAGCGGCCAACAGGAGCUCCCGGCUGCCUUUUUCUGCAGGGGUGACAAUGUGGCGUGCUUCCUGACCUCUCUUCCUCCUCUGUACCGAAUGAUGAAGGGACAGGACAAUCAGAAACUCUUCCUUGUGCGAACACGGAAGUAUGCAUUCCUCAUCAGACACAACCACAAGACCAAGCACGUGACAGGCGAGGUCUCCGAUUUUUUUCUUCGCCUAUUUCCUCCUAAAAUUUAAGCCCGCAGUUAGCCACACUAAACUGCAAGAGAGUGCGGGCUUAACACAGCUCUGUGAAGCAUACCCCACGUUUUGUUGUUGCUGUUUUCCCGAGGAGUGCCAACAAUCCGAAUAAGAUUGUAAAUAAAUAAGGUAUAAGGAAUUUCCCCCAGGACCUCACAUCUGCAAUUCCACCCAACGUCAAGGACUUCUGAGCCUGCUGUCCCCAAACAUAUGCCUGAAACCAAAGCAGUGACAUGUUCGGUGGUGAACUGGGUGCUGUGUCCUCAGCUCCAGCCUCUCUCUUCCCCUGAUAAUAAAACAGCCUGCUUUACUUCACCACAA
Long non-coding RNA from Felis catus (domestic cat), 993 nucleotides. RefSeq lists it as uncharacterized. NCBI's taxonomy places the organism in Eukaryota, Metazoa, Chordata, Mammalia, Carnivora, Felidae. The transcript is spliced from 2 exons. The record is from RefSeq and is a predicted model, not a curated record.